This 468-nucleotide ribosomal RNA is filed under the name uncultured bacterium. Its description in RNAcentral is "partial 16S ribosomal RNA". It matches the Rfam family "Bacterial small subunit ribosomal RNA", at positions 28 to 507 of the family's 1533-position model. The record is from RNAcentral.
GACGAACGCUGGCGGCGUGCUUAACACAUGCAAGUCGAACGGCAAGGCCCUGCUUUUGUGGGGUGCUCGAGUGGCGAACGGGUGAGUAACACGUGAGUAACCUGCCCUUGACUUUGGGAUAACUUCAGGAAACUGGGGCUAAUACCGGAUAGGAGCUCCUGCUGCAUGGUGGGGGUUGGAAAGUUUCGGCGGGUGGGGAUGGACUCGCGGCUUAUCAGCUUGUUGGUGGGGUAGUGGCUUACCAAGGCUUUGACGGGUAGCCGGCCUGGGAGGGUGACCGGCCACCAUGGGACUGAGAGACGGCCCAGACUCCUACGGGAGGCAGCAGUGGGGAAUAUUGCACAAUGGGCGGAAGCCUGAUGCAGCAACGCCGCGUGCGGGAUGACGGCCUUCGGGUUGUAAACCGCUUUCGCCUGUGACGAAGCGUGAGUGACGGUAAUGGGUAAAGAAGCACCGGCUAACUACGUG